CCUACGGGUGGCAGCAGUAAGGAAUAUUGGUCAAUGGACGAGAGUCUGAACCAGCCACGUAGCGUGAAGGAUGACUGCCCUAUGAGUUGUAAACUUCCUUUAUAAAGGAAUUAAACGAGGCACGUGUGCCUUUUUGCAUGUACUUUAUGAAUAAGGAUCGGCUAACUACGUGCCAGCAGCCGCGGUAAUACGGAGGAUCCGGGCGUUAUCCGGAUUUAUUGGGUGUAAAGGGAGCUUAGAUGGGUUGUUAAGUCAGUUGUGAAAGUUUGCGGCUAAACCGUAAAAUUGCAAUUGAGACUGGCAGUCUUGAGUACAGUUGAGGUAGGUGGAAUUCGUGGUGUAGCGGUGAAAUGCUUAGA
This 359-nucleotide ribosomal RNA is filed under the name uncultured bacterium. RNAcentral describes it as "partial 16S ribosomal RNA". It matches the Rfam family "Bacterial small subunit ribosomal RNA", at positions 338 to 694 of the family's 1533-position model. The record is from RNAcentral.